Molecule: microRNA precursor, 103 nt
Filed under: Marmota monax (woodchuck)
Lineage: Eukaryota; Metazoa; Chordata; Mammalia; Rodentia; Sciuridae
Source: RNAcentral
AGUGGAAUUGCUGGAUUAUAUGGUAAUUAUUUGUUAAAUUUUUUGAGGAAUUGACAUACUAUUUAUCACAGUGGCUUCAUUAUUCUACAUUCCUACCAGCAAA